RNAcentral lists this ribosomal RNA (2074 nucleotides) under Planctomycetota bacterium. RNAcentral's name for it is "partial 23S ribosomal RNA". It matches the Rfam family "Bacterial large subunit ribosomal RNA", at positions 1 to 2143 of the family's 2925-position model. Lineage: Bacteria; Pseudomonadati; Planctomycetota. The record is from RNAcentral.
GGUCAAGCUACUAAGGGCGUAUGGGGGAUGCCUAGGCGCCAGUAGGCGAUGAAGGGCGUGGAAGGCUGCGAUAAGCCCGGGGAAGCCGUCAAGCAGGCUUUGAUCCCGGGAUUCCCGAAUGAUCGUGUACCCAAUCCAUAAGUACACGAGGCCAACGCGGUCAACUGAAACAUCUAAGUAGCCGCAGGAAAAGAAAGAAAUCUCGACUUCCCAAGUAGCGGCGAGCGAAAAGGAACAAGCCCAAACCGGACGGCUUCGGCCGACCGGGGUUGUGGGGCCGUCGUCAUGAGUAAAAAAUCGAAUUGCCAGCAGAAUCUGGUUGAAACCAGAUCCAUAGAGGGUGUCAGGCCCGUAUGCGGAAGCGAAUCGACUCUAGACGGUACCCGAGUAAAACCAGUCACGUGGAACCUGGUUUGAAUCAGGGAGGUCCAUCUCCCAAGGCUAAGUACUCACUGGCGACCGAUAGCGCACAAGUAGCGCGAGCGAAAGGUGGGAAGAACCCCUGUUAGGGGAGGAAACUGAACCUGAAACCAUACGCCUACAAGCGGUCGGAGCCCUAUGUCGCAAGACAGGGUGACGGCGUGCCUUUUGCAUAAUGAUCCGACGACUUACCGUCAACGGCAAGGUUAAGGCUUUACGGGCCGUAGCCAAAGGGAAACCAAGUCUGAACAGGGCGACAAUGUCGGUGGCGGUAGACGCGAAACCCGGUGAUCUACCCAUGGGCAGGUUGAAGCGCGGGUAAGACUGCGUGGAGGACCGAACUCACUAGUAUUGAAAAACUAGGGGAUGACCUGUGGGGAGGAGUAAAAGUCUAAUCAAACCGGGAGAUAGCUCGUUCUCUCCGAAAUAGCUUUAGGGCUAGCCUUGAGUCACUACGUCAUGGGGGUAGAGAUACUGAAUCUGCUUGGAGGCCUACCCGGCUAUCCUGCGGAGCCAAACUCCGAAUACCAUGACGACUAACUCGGGAGACAGACCCUGAGGGAUAAGCUUCAGGGUCGAGAGGGAAACAACCCAGAUCGCCUGCUAAGGCCCCCAAGUUCGGCCUAGUCAAAAAGGAUGUCAAGAUACGGAGACAGCCAGGAUGUUGGCUUAGAAGCAGCCACCAUUUAAAAAGUGCGUAAUAGCUUACCGGUCGAGUAUUCUGGCACCAAUAAUGAACGGGAGUAAGCAAAUUACCGAAGCAGCGGGCUCGCAAGAGCGGUAGGAGAGCGUUCCAGAACAGACACGAGCCGUACCGGAAGGAGCGGUGGAGGGUUCUGGAAGUGAUUAUGUCGGAAUGAGUAACGAUUAGGCAGGUGAGAAUCCUGCCCGCCGAAUGCCUAAGGUUUCCUGGGGAAGGUAAAUCCGCCCAGGGUUAGCCGGUCCCUUAGUCGAGGCCGAAAGGCGUAGACGAUGGAGAGCAGGUUAAUAUUCCUGCGCCGCUCAUGGAUACUGACGGGAGGACGUUGUGUGGAUGGUGAUCGGGCUGCUAGAACAGCUCGUGGGGCAACCCCGAGUGCGUUUACGAUCACGAAGUCAUCUGAAGCACAAUCAAGAAAAGACCCCGAAGGGUUUGAAUCCAUGGCGACCGUACUAAAACUGACACAGGUAGGCGAGGCGAGUAGCCUCAGGCGCUCGGGAGAACGCUGGUUAAGGAACUCUGCAAAUUGACCCCGUAACUUCGGGAGAAGGGGUGCCCUUGGGUGUGCAAGCAUCCGGGGGUCACAGUAAAUCGGCUCUAGCGACUGUUUACUAAAAACACAGGACUCUGCGAACUCGUGAGAGGAAGUAUAGAGUCUGACGCCUGCUCGGUGUCGGUAGGUUAAGGAAGAGGGUCAGGGCCGCAAGGCCUGAAGCUCGCAACCGAAGCCCCGAUAAACGGCGGCCGUAACUAUGACGGUCCUAAGGUAGCGAAGUUCCUUGUCGGGUAAGUUCCGACCUGCAUGAAUGGCGUAACGACUGGAGCACUGUCUCAACCAGCGACCCGGUGAAAUUGUAGUCGCGGUGAAGAUGCCGUGUACCCGCAGCUAGACGGAAAGACCCCAUGAACCUUCACUGUAGGCUGAUAUUGGGUUUAGGUAGUUUCUGUGUAGGA